Long non-coding RNA from Drosophila nasuta, 594 nucleotides. RefSeq lists it as uncharacterized. The transcript is spliced from 3 exons. NCBI's taxonomy places the organism in Eukaryota, Metazoa, Arthropoda, Insecta, Diptera, Drosophilidae. The record is from RefSeq and is a predicted model, not a curated record.
GCAUUUUGUGGAACUGUUGACUGUGGUGACUCUUCAAUUGAACUGAUCAAAUAUAAGUAGAAACAAUGCUCUUUAAACCGAUAAUUGUGGAAUAUCACGCUGACGCAAAAGCAUACUUCGGAAAGUGGUAGAACAAAAUCGGAGAGAUAUGAGAACUGUUAUCAAAAUACUGAGAAAUGAAACCCUCAAUCAUUCGUAAAGUGGAAUGCUAAUUAUCCGUGGGAACUUUAGCUCGUGGACAAUACAAUGUCUAUUAAUCAAUGCAUAAUUAUACUGCCCUAUAAUUCUGGUUGGUUAUUAAAGUGAAAUCCGCCUGAAAAUAUUAAAUUACGUUUAAUUCAAACUUUGAGAAUUAUUUGAUUUGCCAUCAUGAUCAACAAAAUGUGGUACUAAUUUAAAAUGCAUUUCUUCAAUAUUUCUGUAUAUUAAAGGAUUCCAACAAUUGGCGACUACUUCUAAUAAAUAAAAAGCUAUUGUCUAUUGUGAUAUUAUUAAUAUACAGUCUAGAUAUAAAAGAAAUAAAAGAUAUUCACUCUUGUAAUUUGAUAUAAAACGAAAUAGAAAUUCGCCAGCAACACGAUAUUAACAAACAUU